RNAcentral lists this ribosomal RNA (425 nucleotides) under uncultured bacterium. RNAcentral's name for it is "partial 16S ribosomal RNA". It matches the Rfam family "Bacterial small subunit ribosomal RNA", at positions 355 to 776 of the family's 1533-position model. The record is from RNAcentral.
UAAGGAAUAUUGGGCAAUGGGCGAAAGCCUGACCCAGCCAUGCCGCGUGCAGGAUGACGGCCCUAUGGGUUGUAAACUGCUUUUAUACGGGAAAAAACCUUCGGUCGUGAACCGGAGCUGAUGGUACCGUAAGAAUAAGGAUCGGCUAACUCCGUGCCAGCAGCCGCGGUAAUACGGAGGAUCCGAGCGUUAUCCGGAUUUAUUGGGUUUAAAGGGUGCGUAGGCGGAAUGGUAAGUCAGUGGUGAAAUCCUUCAGCUUAACUGAAGAACUGCCAUUGAUACUGCCAAUCUUGAGUACGGUUGAAGUGGGCGGAAUGUAGCAUGUAGCGGUGAAAUGCUUAGAUAUGCUACAGAACACCGAUUGCGAAGGCAGCUCACUAAGCCGCAACUGACGCUGAGGCACGAAAGCGUGGGGAGCAAACAGG